Molecule: ribosomal RNA, 474 nt
Filed under: Triticum aestivum (bread wheat)
Lineage: Eukaryota; Viridiplantae; Streptophyta; Magnoliopsida; Poales; Poaceae
Description: partial small subunit ribosomal RNA
Source: RNAcentral
AUGGCGUCCUCUUCUGCCGCUCUCCUCGCGGUGCUCGUCGUCGUGAGCUGCGCGGGCAUGGCUGCGGCCACGUCGUACACCGUCGGCGACACCAAGGGCUGGGUGACCGGCGUCGACUACUCCGGCUGGACCAGCGGCAAGUCGUUCGCCGUCGGCGACACGCUAGUGUUCAGCUACGCGAGCAAGGUGCACACGGUGACGGAGGUGAGCCAGGGCGGCUACACGUCCUGCUCCGGGAGCAACGCGCUGGCCAACUUCGACAGCGGCGCCACCACCGUCACGCUCGCGACCCCCGGCACGCACUACUACAUCUGCAACAUCCCCGGCCACUGCGCCAGCGGCAUGAAGCUCGCCGUCACCGUCGCCGGGGGCGGCUCGUCCCCGGGAGGCUCCGCCGGCGGCUCCCUGGCCCCGGCGAUGGGCGCCGUCGUCGCCGCGGCGGCGGGGGCUCUGAUCAAGGUGGCGCUGUUCUGA